GCCAAUGACAGGCGGGCCAGGGUCACAUGCAAAAGGACACGCCCGGACGAGGAGGAGACAAAGAGCGUCCGCUCGGGUCCGUUUCAGACGCAAAUCCAGCCCAACUUUGCUUCCGGGAUGGGGUGAGACGGACCAGAAACGGACACUUUUUACAGAUAGGGUAGCACGCUGGGUCGUCUCAUUUAUCCGUGUAAUCUCAAACGGACAGACCCGGACGUUUUGGAGUCGCGCGGUGGAGAUGGCCUUACCAUCCGUCAUCCGUUUCCAUCCGUAAAUUAUGGACUUUUCUGGAAUGAAGACGCAUCAUCUUCUCCACCAUCCUCCCACUUUAUUUUCUCAAUGACGCCCCCUCCUCUUCGUAUUCUCCAUAUAGUUCCACUCACCCAAACAAAUAACCCCCUUCAUCAUCAGCCGUGGCAAAGCUACCAUACACAUCUCGCUCUGAGCAGUCAUGGUGCUGUGCCGCUGCUAGCCCAGCGUUCGUGGGGGGUCGCCGCCUAAGACGUGCAUGUUGCUGCCGACCCAGGGCCCUCCGAUCACCGUAAUUGAUUUGAGCCCGCAAUCUGUUGCCGAUGAAUCAAUCCCCGCGGACACCGCUGGCCCAAUCCUCGUGCCCCGGUGUCGACCAUAGCUCCAGGCAAGCCACACGUCUCACUGCUGUCGUCCUCCGCCAACAUCUCCUGCACCAAAAGGUCGGUGCUCUCCUUCUCUAUCUCCCCAAAUCUAAGCGAUCUCAGGUUUAUUUGGAUUGGAACUUUGAAGCUCUGAUUUAUAUGUGGAGGAAGCAUCUUUUAGAAGCGAGAUCUGUUCUGUUUCCAGCCGCCUCAUCCGUGCAACAGUCCGGUCAGUCUUUCUAAUCCACAAUCCUCUCUAAUUCAAGCAUUCCCGGCAAGCAUGAAACAACCAUCUCAGUCCCCUCUUCGUUUUAUUUUAUUUAUUUAUUGUUUGAAGGAAUAAACAGAUGGAACAACGUUGAUUUAAAGCGAUGGAUCGUAGUCAUCUCUCUUCGUUUUGUUUUAUGUAAGGCGCUGAUUGGACGGAAUAAAAAGGCAGUUAUUUUUUUGCCGGGAUGCACUUGAAGCUGAAUUAUGUGCAUGCAUGGAAGGUUUAUCUUUCUCCAUCCAGAGAAGUGAGUUACCAGUGCAGAUCGACAUGGAUUCUAUAAUUGCAGUGAAAUUGAUCCAGGCUUCAGAGGUUGACAGAUCGGUAUAUUCGUCUAUCAUCAAGGAGAUUAGAUAUCUUAUGUCUCUACGUGAAAAUUGUAUUACUCAUGUAAGUCGUAGCCAAAAUAAAGUUAGUGAUAGCUUAGCUAAAUUUGCUCGUAGUGAGGGUAGAACCAUGACUUGGCUAGGUUCUGGUCCUCCUGAGGCUUUGGAACUAGCUGCGAUUGAUUGUAAGGACUUUGGUGGAUGAGUAAUACAAAUUUCUACCCGCAAAAAAAAUAUAUACUCUUUGGUCAUUUUCAGGUA
This is a long non-coding RNA of Triticum aestivum (bread wheat), 1469 nucleotides long. RefSeq lists it as uncharacterized. The transcript has 2 exons. The record is from RefSeq and is a predicted model, not a curated record. NCBI's taxonomy places the organism in Eukaryota, Viridiplantae, Streptophyta, Magnoliopsida, Poales, Poaceae.